RNAcentral lists this ribosomal RNA (458 nucleotides) under uncultured bacterium. Its description in RNAcentral is "partial 16S ribosomal RNA". It matches the Rfam family "Bacterial small subunit ribosomal RNA", at positions 338 to 795 of the family's 1533-position model. The record is from RNAcentral.
CCUACGGGUGGCAGCAGUGGGGAAUAUUGCACAAUGGGGGAAACCCUGAUGCAGCGCCGCCGCGUGAGUGAUGAAGUAUUUCGGUAUGGAAAGCUCUAUCAGCAGGGAAGAAAUAGCGACCUUUGGGUCGCCAGACGGUACCUGACUAAGAAGCCCCGGCUAACUAUGUGCCAGCAGCCGCGGUAAUACGGAGGGGGCAAGCGUUAUCCGGAUUUACUGGGUGUAAAGGGAGCGUAGACGGCAGCACAAGUCUGAAGUGAAAUGCCGGGGCUUAACCCCGGAACUGCUUCGGAAACUGUGCAGCUAGAGUGCAGGGAAGGUAAGUGGAAUUCCUAGUGUAGCGGUGAAAUGCGUAGAUAUUAGGAGGAACACCAGUGGCGAAGGCGGCUUACUGGACUGUAACUGACGUUGAGGCUCGAAAGCGUGGGGAGCAAACAGGAUUAGAUACCCCUGUAGUC